This 582-nucleotide ribosomal RNA is filed under the name uncultured bacterium. Its description in RNAcentral is "bacterial SSU rRNA". It matches the Rfam family "Bacterial small subunit ribosomal RNA", at positions 65 to 668 of the family's 1533-position model. The record is from RNAcentral.
AACGGAGUCGGCGCAAGCCGGCUUAGUGGCGGACGGCUGAGUAACGCGUAGGUGACUUGCCCAGAAGUGGGGAAUAACGAUUCGAAAGAAUCGCUAAUACCGCAUGUGGUUGUGCGUGUAGGCGCGUGCAACUAAAGCCCGCGAGGGCGCUUCUGGAGAGGCCUGCGUCCGAUUAGCUAGUUGGUAGGGUAAUGGCCUACCAAGGCGACGAUCGGUAGCUGAUCUGAGAGGAUGGUCAGCCAGACUGGGACUGAGACACGGCCCAGACUCCUACGGGAGGCAGCAGUUAGGAAUUUUGCACAAUGGGCGAAAGCCUGAUGCAGCAACGCCGCGUGGACGAUGAAGGCCUUCGGGUCGUAAAGUCCUUUUCAGAGGGAAGAAACGGACGGUACCUCUGGAAUAAGCCUCGGCUAACUACGUGCCAGCAGCCGCGGUAAUACGUAGGAGGCGAGCGUUAUCCGGAUUUACUGGGCGUAAAGAGCGCGUAGGCGGUCUCGUAAGUUGGGCGUGAAAGCCCCCGGCUUAACCGGGGAGGGUCGUUCAAUACUGCGAGACUGGAGGGUGGAAGAGGAGACUGGAAUU